RNAcentral lists this long non-coding RNA (330 nucleotides) under Ananas comosus (pineapple). RNAcentral describes it as "long non-coding RNA (ACOM_LNC021835)". Lineage: Eukaryota; Viridiplantae; Streptophyta; Magnoliopsida; Poales; Bromeliaceae. The record is from RNAcentral.
ACUCGAGUCCUCUAAGACUUAGUUUGGUAUUUAAGUAUAUCUUAUGCUAUUAAAUAAAAGCAUAUAAAGAUAUGCUUCUGCGUUUUUCAAUAAAAUCGCAUAAAAUAUAUCAUAAUCGAUUCAUCGCGAUAUGCGAAAUACAAUAUUAUUUAUGAAAACAAACAUAAUAUUUUUUUAUCGUACUUUCUCACCGCACGUAACCAAUCUCUUGAUUCUCUUCUCCACCAUCAGAACCCAAACACUCAUCUUCAUCCUCUUCCCCUCGAUCGCCAUUAUCUCUCUCUCUCUCUCUCUCUCUCUUUCUCUCUCUCUCUCUCUCUAAUUAUCCUG